GUUUAAUAUGAAUGAGGAUAAAACUAACAAAAGAAAGAAUACUAUUCUUUCUUUUUUUGUAAAAAAAAACCAAAAGCCAACAAAGUAAAUGAAGAUGAGAAUAAACCGAAUGAGCCUUCAGCUAAUAAUAAAUCCAUUGAGUUAACUUCAAUUGAGGAUAGUGAUGGUCGUGGUCUCCCAUCUCAAGUUCCAAUUCAUAUUUUUCGUACACAUUCACAAAGGAGCUAUCAUCAGUCUGCCAUUUUGGAUUCUGAAAAUUUUUUAAAUAUAUAUUCUCAUAAAGAAUUGUCAUAAUUGAUCGACUGGAUUCCGAAAG
Long non-coding RNA from Aphis gossypii (cotton aphid), 316 nucleotides. RefSeq lists it as uncharacterized. The record is from RefSeq and is a predicted model, not a curated record. The transcript has 3 exons. NCBI's taxonomy places the organism in Eukaryota, Metazoa, Arthropoda, Insecta, Hemiptera, Aphididae.